AUGAACGCUGGCGGCGUGCCUAAUACAUGCAAGUCGAACGGAAAAUUCUUGGUACUUGUAUCGGGAAUUUUUAGUGGCGAACGGGUGAGUAACGCGUUGGUGACCUACCCCAAAGUGGGGGAUAACAGAUCGAAAGGUCUGCUAAUACCUCAUGUUGUCAUCGUUUUUAGAAAGCGAUGAUUAAAGGAUUUAUCCGCUUUGGGAGGGGCCUGCGUCCCAUCAGCUAGUUGGUAGGGUAAUGGCCUACCAAGGCGUCGACGGGUAAGGGACCUGAGAGGGUGGCCCCUCACAAUGGAACUGAAACACGGUCCAUACACCUACGGGUGGCAGCAGUAGGGAAUAUUGCACAAUGGGCGAAAGCCUGAUGCAGCAACGCCGCGUGUACGAUGAAGGCCUUCGGGUCGUAAAGUACUUUUCAGGGGGAUGAGAAAGGACAGUACCCCUGGAAUAAGUCUCGGCUAACUACGU
Molecule: ribosomal RNA, 468 nt
Filed under: uncultured bacterium
Lineage: Bacteria
Description: bacterial SSU rRNA
Rfam family: Bacterial small subunit ribosomal RNA
Source: RNAcentral